RNAcentral lists this transfer RNA (61 nucleotides) under Dipodomys ordii (Ord's kangaroo rat). It matches the Rfam family "tRNA", at positions 1 to 61 of the family's 71-position model. Rfam says of the family: Transfer RNA (tRNA) molecules are approximately 80 nucleotides in length. Their secondary structure includes four short double-helical elements and three loops (D, anti-codon, and T loops). Further hydrogen bonds mediate the characteristic L-shaped molecular structure. tRNAs have two regions of fundamental functional importance: the anti-codon, which is responsible for specific mRNA codon recognition, and the 3' end, to which the tRNAs corresponding amino acid is attached (by aminoacyl-tRNA synthetases). tRNAs cope with the degeneracy of the genetic code in two manners: having more than one tRNA (with a specific anti-codon) for a particular amino acid; and 'wobble' base-pairing, i.e. permitting non-standard base-pairing at the 3rd anti-codon position. Lineage: Eukaryota; Metazoa; Chordata; Mammalia; Rodentia; Heteromyidae. The record is from Rfam by way of RNAcentral.
GGGAAGGUGGCUCAGUGGUAGAGUGCUUGCCUUGUAUGCAUGAGCCUCCGGUUCCAUUCCU